Molecule: long non-coding RNA, 544 nt
Organism: Passer montanus (Eurasian tree sparrow)
Lineage: Eukaryota; Metazoa; Chordata; Aves; Passeriformes; Passeridae
Exons: 3
Source: RefSeq, a predicted model, not a curated record
CUGUGCAUGCAGCAUACCCAGGGGCUUCCAUCUAAGAGCUGCCUGCCCUCGUGCACCAGUGUGAGCAAAGCAUGGCACAAGUGCUGGCAGUGCUGCAGAGGGAGGGGACGUGAGGGCCACGGCCCCCGCUGCAGUACAAAAGCAGAUUGACCAGAAAAAAUUGCCAAGAAGACUAACACUGGCAGCUAGUGUUCCUGAGUGGUUUUAAAGUGGGAGAAGGCCACAGAGGAAGAGGACAGGGCAGGACAUGACUGUUGAGCAAUGGCUGAGCUCCUGCACUGAGGAGGCAUUGCUAAAUCUGCAGCUGCAAUGAGGGCUGCUUACCAGCACAGGCAAGGACCAUGUUGCUGGAGGAGAGAUGUCAGCCUCCUAAGAGCAGCGCAGAGGAGGAAACUCAGGAGCCUGAAGCACAGCGACCUCCUAAGAACAGACAAAGCAGGGUGAAGCAACAAAGGCUUUCAACUGAAAGCAAAUGCUGACAGAAACAUUGUUCUGGGUGCAUGGCCUGUGGCCAGUGCUCCUGGAGGGAAUGCUGUACGCUGCA